Molecule: ribosomal RNA, 408 nt
Filed under: uncultured microorganism
Description: bacterial SSU rRNA
Rfam family: Archaeal small subunit ribosomal RNA
Source: RNAcentral
GCGCAGCAGUCGCGAAACUUUACAAUGUGCGAAAGCACGAUAAGGGAACUCUGAGUGCCUCCUAAGGAGGCUGUUCAGGUGUCUAAAAGCACCUGAAGGAAGGGCUGGGUAAGACCGGUGCCAGCCGCCGCGGUAACACCGGCAGCCCAAGUGGUAGCCACGUUUAUUGGGUCUAAAGCGUCCGUAGCCGGCUGGGUAAGUUCCUUGGGAAAUUUGGCUGCUUAACAGUCAAGCUUUCAGGGAAUACUGCCCGGCUUGGGACCGGGAGAGGUCAGAGGUACUCCAGGGGUAGGGGUGAAAUCCAUUAAUCCUUGGGGGACCACCGGUAGCGAAGGCGUCUGACCAGACCGGGUCCGACGGUGAGGGACGAAGGCUAGGGGCGCGAACCGGAUUAGAUACCCCUGUAGU